This 168-nucleotide ribosomal RNA is filed under the name Harpalyce brasiliana. Its description in RNAcentral is "5.8S ribosomal RNA". It matches the Rfam family "5.8S ribosomal RNA". From Rfam's summary of the family: 5.8S ribosomal RNA (5.8S rRNA) is a component of the large subunit of the eukaryotic ribosome. It is transcribed by RNA polymerase I as part of the 45S precursor that also contains 18S and 28S rRNA. Lineage: Eukaryota; Viridiplantae; Streptophyta; Magnoliopsida; Fabales; Fabaceae. RNAcentral also lists the same sequence under 1 other name. The record is from RNAcentral.
GACUCUCGGCAACGGAUAUCUCGGCUCUCGCAUCGAUGAAGAACGUAGCGAAAUGCGAUACUUGGUGUGAAUUGCAGAAUCCCGUGAACCAUCGAGUCUUUGAACGCAAGUUGCGCCCGAAGCCAUUAGGCCGAGGGCACGCCUGCCUGGGUGUCGCACAUCGCUGCC